UACGGGGGGGGCAAGCGUUGUUCGGAAUUACUGGGCGUAAAGGGUUCGUAGGUGGCCAACUAAGUCAGACGUGAAAUCCCUCAGCUUAACCGGGGAACUGCGUCUGAUACUGGAUGGCUUGAGUUUGGGAGAGGGAUGCGGAAUUCCAGGUGUAGCGGUGAAAUGCGUAGAUAUCUGGAGGAACACCGGUGGCGAAGGCGGCAUCCUGGACCAACACUGACGCUGAGUGAGCGAAAGCCAGGGGAGCAAACGGG
This 254-nucleotide ribosomal RNA is filed under the name uncultured bacterium. RNAcentral's name for it is "partial 16S ribosomal RNA". It matches the Rfam family "Bacterial small subunit ribosomal RNA", at positions 524 to 776 of the family's 1533-position model. The record is from RNAcentral.